CGGGAUGUGGCGCAGUAGGGAGCGCGCACCGUUCGGGACGGUGAGGUCGCAGGUUCGAGCCCUGUCAUCCCGA
This 73-nucleotide transfer RNA is filed under the name Brachybacterium kimchii. RNAcentral describes it as "Brachybacterium sp. CBA3104 tRNA-Pro". It matches the Rfam family "tRNA". From Rfam's summary of the family: Transfer RNA (tRNA) molecules are approximately 80 nucleotides in length. The record is from RNAcentral. Lineage: Bacteria; Bacillati; Actinomycetota; Actinomycetes; Micrococcales; Dermabacteraceae.